RNAcentral lists this non-coding RNA (175 nucleotides) under Weissella oryzae. RNAcentral describes it as "Lysine sequence". It matches the Rfam family "Lysine riboswitch aptamer". Rfam says of the family: Riboswitches are metabolite binding domains within certain messenger RNAs that serve as precision sensors for their corresponding targets. Lineage: Bacteria; Bacillati; Bacillota; Bacilli; Lactobacillales; Lactobacillaceae. RNAcentral also lists the same sequence under 1 other name. The record is from RNAcentral.
UUAAUUAAUAGAGGUUGCAGUCAACAAUAGUAAAAUCAUUGAACCUACCAGGGUACUGAGGUGAUUUGAAAGGGGCGACUGCCGAAGGCUUGUUCUUGGUAGGGACGAGGCUGGGCCAGGGUUGAAAAAGCUUUGGACUGUCGUUGUCAUUAUGCAACGGGGUGCUAUUGGAUGG